Long non-coding RNA from Limanda limanda (common dab), 203 nucleotides. RefSeq lists it as uncharacterized. Lineage: Eukaryota; Metazoa; Chordata; Actinopteri; Pleuronectiformes; Pleuronectidae. The record is from RefSeq and is a predicted model, not a curated record. The transcript has 3 exons.
GUCGGCUGAUGCUUACCUGCUCGGAGACGACAGACAUCACACGAAAAUAAAUGGACGUUGGAAUAUUUGAAGGACAUUGACUCUGCCAUUUGGUUUUACCUGCUAAUGGAAGCAACAUGUGGAAGGCAGACGAGAUGUUAUCGUCCGGUGUUUGUUGGAGUACCUUUGAGAGCUAAUCGAGGGCUACCAGGUAAAUUUUGAAA